AAUGAUAUGCCUGACAAAAAGGAUUAUCUUGAUAGGAUAAAUUAUACAUACAUAUUUCUAUGUUUUCAUUA
RNAcentral lists this transfer RNA (71 nucleotides) under Acropyga sauteri. Its description in RNAcentral is "tRNA-Ile". The record is from RNAcentral. Lineage: Eukaryota; Metazoa; Arthropoda; Insecta; Hymenoptera; Formicidae.